RNAcentral lists this long non-coding RNA (1020 nucleotides) under Marmota monax (woodchuck). Lineage: Eukaryota; Metazoa; Chordata; Mammalia; Rodentia; Sciuridae. The record is from RNAcentral.
UUCUUCUCCUUCAAUAUUGUAUGGGCUCUGCUGGGUCUGUGUAUUAACUUUAGAAUCAGUUUGUUUAUAUCCAUGAAAUAACUGGCAGAGAGUUUGACUGAGAUUGUAUUAAAUCUUUGGAUCAGAUUGGGAAGAAUUGAUAGUUUUACAAUAUUGAGUCUCCUACCCAUGAGCAUGGACUAUCUUUCCAUUUACUUAUUUCUUUGAUGUAUUUCACCGUUGCUUUGUUGUUACCCUCAUAUGAAUGUUGUAUAUAUUUAGUUAGAUACAUACCUAAAUAUAUCUUUUUUGGGGGGGUUGCCAUUGUAAGGGGUUUUGUGUUUUUAAUUUCAAAUCAUACUUGUUCAUUUCUUGUAUAUCAAACUUGUAUCCUGCAACCUUACUAUGAUUACUUAUUAUUUCCAGGAGUUUGUUGUUGACACUUUUAGAUCCUCUGCACAGAUGAUGAUGUCUCCUGUGUCCAAAGAUAGCUUUAUUUCUGUUUUCCUCACUAGUAUGCCUUUAAUUUUCUUUUCUUAUUGCAUGAUAUAUCUUCAAUAAUUUAACUCUAAACUAUUUGUGUCCUUCUAUUUGGUGGGUUUCUUGUGGACAACUUACAUUGAGUUUUGUUUUUUGAUCACUGACAGUCUCUUUUAAUUGGUGCAUUUAGACUACUGGUGUUUAAAGUUAUUACUAAUAUCUACUAUGUUUGCUAUUGCUUUAUAUUUUAUUGCCUUUGUUAUUUGUUCCAGUUUUUGUAUUCCAAUUUUUCUAUCAUUUAUAGUUUUAAUGGAGCAUUUAAUGUAAUAUCAUUUUCUCUGCCUUCUUAGCAUAAGAAUUAUUUUUCUUUUAAAAACUUUUUUGAUGGUUUUCCUAGAGUUUCCAGUAUGCACUUAGAACUAAUCCGAGUCUGCUUUCAAAUAACACAAUAUUGCUUCAUGAUUAGUGCAGUACCUUAUAACAUAAUAAUUCUAAUUUCUGCUUGCUAUCCCUUUUGUAAUUCUGUUAUUCAUUCAGCUUUUACAUCAAGCAUAUAUACAU